Molecule: small RNA, 308 nt
Filed under: uncultured bacterium
Lineage: Bacteria
Description: bacterial SSU rRNA
Rfam family: Bacterial small subunit ribosomal RNA
Source: RNAcentral
GAACGGGGGCAACCCCUAGUAAAGUGGCGUACGGGUGAGUAACACGUAGAUAAUCUACCUCAGAGUCUGGAAUAACCUGCCGAAAGGCGGGCUAAUACUGGAUAGAGCGACGGAAUCCGUAAUUGGGUUUUUCGGGAAAGGGAGGGAGCAAUCCCCUUCGCUCUGAGAUGAGUCUGCGUCCCAUCAGGUAGUUGGUGAGGUAAUGGCUCACCAAGGCUUCGACGGGUAGCUGGUCUGAGAGGAUGAUCAGCCACACUGGAACUGAAACACGGUCCAGACUCCUACGGGAGGCAGCAGUGGGAUCUUGG